This 479-nucleotide ribosomal RNA is filed under the name uncultured bacterium. RNAcentral's name for it is "bacterial SSU rRNA". It matches the Rfam family "Bacterial small subunit ribosomal RNA", at positions 30 to 506 of the family's 1533-position model. The record is from RNAcentral.
CGAACGCUGGCGGCAUGCCUAGCACAUGCAAGUCGAACGGGAUCCUGGCUUCGGUCAGGUGAGAGUGGCGGACGGGUGAGUAAUGCAUCGGAACGUACCCAGUCGUGGGGGAUAACUACGCGAAAGCGUGGCUAAUACCGCAUACGCCCUGAGGGGGAAAGCGGGGGACCUUCGGGCCUCGCGCGAUUGGAGCGGCUGAUGUCGGAUUAGCUGGUUGGUGGGGUAAAGGCCUACCAAGGCGACGAUCCGUAGCUGGUCUGAGAGGAUGAUCAGCCACACUGGGACUGAGACACGGCCCAGACUCCUACGGGAGGCAGCAGUGGGGAAUUUUGGACAAUGGGCGCAAGCCUGAUCCAGCCAUGCCGCGUGAGUGAAGAAGGCCUUCGGGUUGUAAAGCUCUUUCAGACGGAAAGAAAUCGGGCGGGUGAAUAGCCUGCCUGGAUGACGGUACUGUCAGAAGAAGCACCGGCUAACUACGU